This 306-nucleotide unclassified non-coding RNA is filed under the name Hevea brasiliensis (rubber tree). The record is from RNAcentral. Lineage: Eukaryota; Viridiplantae; Streptophyta; Magnoliopsida; Malpighiales; Euphorbiaceae.
AUCAAUACCAAGCUCAGGGCAGGUGCAGCAGUGCUUUCCACUUGAAAUCCUGGCAGCCGCAGUCGCAGCCGUCUCAAUCGAUCCUUGACACAAUAACCAUUUUCUCGAAGCUACCAAGAAUGAAUAAGAAAUUUGGAGCAGGGAAGCAGCCCACUGGCACUCCUUCACUGGGCUGGUCAUGCGUUGUUGUCAUCAUUUCACUUCUUACUGGCGCCUCCAUCGUUCACAACAUUUAUAAACCUGAUCUCACAUUGCCCCCGGUAGAUGGCGUUAAUACAGCCAAGAAGAGUCAAACUGAAACAAGGC